UUUAAAAGCUUUUUGGGCAUUGGGGUCAGUGACCUCCAUUUGAAAGCUUGGAAGGCUAAAGAAGAGAAAGGUAAAUUAUUCAAAAACAACGACCAACUGAAAAGUUGCUAGAAAUAAGAUAUUUUGCUGUGAUUUAUGUACAAGUGAUUUUGUUAUCUUAACUGUGUUUUUAGGUCUUUUUGACUCCAGGACUAUAGAGGGCUCUGUUUAAUGCAUACUGAUUUAGUACAGUACUAACGUGUCUGUUGAAAGUACAGCCCCUUGUACUGCUAGGUGAACCUGCGCUCUGUUCUGGCUUCUGCAGGCUGCAGGCACCUCCAUUCUCUGUACUGAAGUUUUCCUUCUGCAGUCUGUAGCCCAGAUUCUGCCCAUUACUCUCAGCUGAUCUGUAUUAAUCACAGGUGAUGCUCAUUUCCAGGCACCUCCCAGCAGAGAUUGCCCACAUACACUGUAAUGCUGCAUUCAACUCACUGCCUGCUCAUGGGUCAGCCUUUGGUCUGCAAAUACUGAGCUGUGAUUGUAUCCGGAAUCCAGUUCCUGAGCUCUGAUCCUUGCCUUGCCGAAGCUCCUGGGUUCCCUCAAUCCUCUUCUUGCUACUGGAUGUACUACUUGGCAUGCACAUUGUGCCCUUCGUCAGUUUUGCAGUUUGAUGGGUCAGUAUAUACAAUGUGCAAGAUACAGCUGUAAAGGGAAAUCAUUAUUCACAGCACAUGAAGAUAUCCAGAUGGCACAAUAAAGGCCAAUGGCAGCUGAGAGAGAAAGCUGCAAAUUAGCUAACGAAGCAGCAAGACAAAAGUAAAGAUGUAAAAGGUGAUUGGAGGGUUAACUUGAAAAUCUUUUUAUGGUGAAAUUCUAUUCACUGAAGGUCCCAAAGGCUGGAUCAGCAUGACUGCAUUCUGCAGAUGCAUUAAAUAGCUGAAAGAACAAGCCUGAGAUCUACAGCUGGUAUAGCAAUAUUGGCAGGUUGGACCCUGAUAUUUAAAUCUAACAUUGCCUUUAUUAUACAAAUAAGCUGUGUAAUGAAGACUAUAAAUCAAUGUAAAGAAUGCAUGCAGUCAACUGCAUAUUUUACAAGCUCUAUCUAUUUUAAGGAUUUUCUUUUGGCAGGCCAGAAUCCAGCUGGACAUGCAAUAUUUACACAUCAAAAUUAAUAAAAUGACUAAGAUUUUCAA
Xenopus tropicalis (tropical clawed frog) is the source of this 1172-nucleotide long non-coding RNA. RefSeq lists it as uncharacterized. The record is from RefSeq and is a predicted model, not a curated record. NCBI's taxonomy places the organism in Eukaryota, Metazoa, Chordata, Amphibia, Anura, Pipidae. The transcript is spliced from 4 exons.